AAACUAACAAGGAUUCCCCUAGUAACGGCGAGUGAAGAGGGAAGAGCCCAAGAUUGAAAGCUGGCGCCUUCGGCGUCCGCAUUGUAAUCUCAAGAAGCGUUUUCCGCUUCGGACCAUGCCUAAGUCCCUUGGAAAAGGGCAUCAUAGAGGGUGAUAAUCCCGUACAUGGCAUGGAGCGCCCGAAGCUUUGUGAUACGCUUUCUAAGAGUCGAGUUGUUUGGGAAUGCAGCUCAAAAUGGGUGGUAAAUGCCAUCUAAGGCUAAAUAUUGGGGAGAGACCGAUAGCGAACAAGUACAGUGAUGGAAAGAUGAAAAGAACUUUGAAAAGAGAGUUAAACAGUACGUGAAAUUGCCAAAAGGGAAGGGUAGGAGGUCAGAGAUGCGUCGCAGGAUUCAGCCUUGCUUUUGCUUGGUGUUUUUCCUGCGUUGCAGGCCAACGUCGGUUUUGGGCACUGGAGAAGGGUAGGAGGAACGUGGCACCUCUCGGGGUGUGUUAUAGCCUCCUACUGGAUACAGCGACCGAGACCGAGGAACGCAGCGUACUCGUAAGAGCGGGCCUUUUGGCACCUUUACGCUUAGGGCGUUGGCAUAAUGGCCCUCUACCACCCGUCU
Molecule: ribosomal RNA, 611 nt
Filed under: Pseudozyma hubeiensis
Lineage: Eukaryota; Fungi; Basidiomycota; Ustilaginomycetes; Ustilaginales; Ustilaginaceae
Description: eukaryotic LSU rRNA
Rfam family: Eukaryotic large subunit ribosomal RNA
Source: RNAcentral